This 468-nucleotide ribosomal RNA is filed under the name uncultured bacterium. RNAcentral describes it as "partial 16S ribosomal RNA". It matches the Rfam family "Bacterial small subunit ribosomal RNA", at positions 28 to 507 of the family's 1533-position model. The record is from RNAcentral.
GACGAACGCUGGCGGCGUGCUUAACACAUGCAAGUCGAACGGAAAGGCCCUGCUUUUGUGGGGUGCUCGAGUGGCGAACGGGUGAGUAACACGUGAGUAACCUGCCCUUGACUUUGGGAUAACUUCAGGAAACUGGGGCUAAUACCGGAUAGGAGCUCCUGCUGCAUGGUGGGGGUUGGAAAGUUUCGGCGGUUGGGGAUGGACUCGCGGCUUAUCAGCUUGUUGGUGGGGUAGUGGCUUACCAAGGCUUUGACGGGUAGCCGGCCUGAGAGGGUGACCGGCCACAUUGGGACUGAGAUACGGCCCAGACUCUUACGGGAGGCAGCAGUGGGGAAUAUUGCACAAUGGGCGGAAGCCUGAUGCAGCAACGCCGCGUGCGGGAUGACGGCCUUCGGGUUGUAUACCGCUUUCGCCUGUGACGAAGCGUGAGUGACGGUAAUGGGUAAAGAAGCACCGGCUAACUACGUG